ACGCCCAUAGCUCAGAUGGAUCAGAGCAAGAGCCUUCUAAGCUCUAGGUCGGGAGUUCGAGCCUCCCUGGGCGUA
This 75-nucleotide transfer RNA is filed under the name Inoviridae sp. Its description in RNAcentral is "tRNA-Arg". It matches the Rfam family "tRNA". From Rfam's summary of the family: Transfer RNA (tRNA) molecules are approximately 80 nucleotides in length. Their secondary structure includes four short double-helical elements and three loops (D, anti-codon, and T loops). Lineage: Floreoviria; Loebvirae; Hofneiviricota; Faserviricetes; Tubulavirales; Inoviridae. The record is from RNAcentral.